CAGUCGCCACGGUAAUACGUAGGUGGCAAGCGUUGUCCGGAAUUAUUGGGCGUAAAGGGCUCGCAGGCGGUUUCUUAAGUCUGAUGUGAAAGCCCCUGGCUCAACCGGGGAGGGUCAUUGGAAACUGGGAAACUUGAGUGCAGAAGAGGAGAGUGGAAUUCCACGUGUAGCGGUGAAAUGCGUAGAGAUGUGGAGGAACACCAGUGGCGAAGGCGACUCUCUGGUCUGUAACUGACGCUGGGGAGCGAAAGCGUGGGGAGCGAACAGGAUUAGAUACCCCCGUAGUCCCUGUCUCUUAUAC
Molecule: ribosomal RNA, 301 nt
Filed under: uncultured bacterium
Lineage: Bacteria
Description: partial 16S ribosomal RNA
Rfam family: Bacterial small subunit ribosomal RNA
Source: RNAcentral